Molecule: ribosomal RNA, 448 nt
Filed under: uncultured bacterium
Lineage: Bacteria
Description: bacterial SSU rRNA
Rfam family: Bacterial small subunit ribosomal RNA
Source: RNAcentral
ACUCCUACGGGAGGCAGCAGCGACGAAUCUUCCGCAAUGCACGAAAGUGUGACGGAGCAAUGCCGCGUGUGGGAUGAAUCGGCUUCGCCGUGUAAACCACUGUCAGAGUCUAGGAAGAACUGACCAGACUCAAAGGAAGGGCCGGCUAAUCUCGUGCCAGCAGCCGCGGUAAUACGAGAGGCCCGAGCGUUAGGCGGAAUCACUGGGCUUAAAGGGUGCGUAGGCGGAUCGGCAGGCGUCUUGUGAAAUCCCCGGGCUCAACCCGGGAACUGCAGGGCGAACCGCCAGUCUUGAGGCAGGUAGGGGUCGCUAGAACGUUCGGUGGAGCGGUGAAAUGCGUAGAUAUGACUUAGAACACCAAUUGCGAAGGCAGCUGACUAGAUUUUAUUUGACGCUGAGGCACGAAAGCGUGGGGAGCGAACAGGAUUAGAUACCCUGUAGGUCAGUC